CGUAGUCGAACGGGGCACCAGCAGCAGCGUCGGCCUCGUAGUCUACUGGAGAGAAGAGGGGGAAGAAACAAUGAAUACAAUGCAAACAUAUGCAUAACGAUGCAUGACAAAGCAAACAACGGUGUUAGACGUACCCUAACGCGGUACUAGGUGAUACCAAAAAAGGGGGGAAACAUCCGGGAAAGUAUCCCUAGUGUUUCGCGUUUUCGGACAGAUGAACCGAAGGGGAAAAGUUGUGUGUUCGCUAUGCUAGGAAUGUGUGGCGGACAAACGGGAUGCGUAUUCGGAUUCAUCUCGUCGUUCUGAGCAACUUUCAUGUAUAAAUUAUUUUCAUCCGAGUUACAUAUUAUUUUAUAUGAUUUUUCAAAAUUUAUUUGAAUUUCUAAAAUUACUGGAUUAUAUUAAUUCGAAUUAAAAAGAGUAAAUACUCUUGUCACAUAGUGCAGUGCCAGCCAUAGUGUAUGACAGGUGGGGUCAGGUUCAAACUCAAUAGUCCAGUCAGCAGUUGACUGGUCAAACUGGCGGGUGGGACCUAGCUGUCAUAGAGACAGUGCAAAUUAAUAGUUCAAUUAAUUUAACAGAUUUGGUGAGGGGGCCGCAUGUCAUAGAGUCAGUUUUGAUUUAGAGUUAAUCUGCACAAUUUAUUUAGUGGGUGGGCCCCAUGUGGCAUAGGGUAGCAACUAAAUUAACUAGCACUAAUUAGUUCCUAAACUAAUCUACAGAGGGCCGGCCACACAUCCAGCCACGCGUGUGUUGCCAAGGCCAACACACAUGGGCGCAAAAUCACGGUGGCCAUGACCAUUAGCAGUAGUAAAGCAACAGCGUAGUAGCAGGAGUAAGCAGCAGUAGAGCAACUGCGCAAGAGCGGCAGCAGCGCAGCAAGCAGAGGCAUCAGGCGGCGGGCGGCUGCAGCACAAGAGCAGCAGGUACAGGCAGCGGGCGACAGCAGUAGCGCACGGGAGCAGCAGGAAGAGCAGCGCAGCAGCGAGCGGGAGCGCGUGGGCCAACGCGAGCGCGCGCGAAGGGGCGAGCACGCCAAGCGCGGAGCAGCAGCGGGCGUGGGGUAUCGGCGGCAGCAGCAACGACAGAAGGCGGGGGGCGCGGCCGUGGCGCGCACGUGCGUGCUCGCCGGCGACGCGGGACUGAUCUCCAGGCCGCCAAACAGAGCAGGGCGAGCUCCUACGGAACCAGCGCGAGGCGCCGCAUCGAUCCACGCAACGGGUGCGAGCUGAGGCCGACCAAAAUGACGACUACGACGAGCUGAUGCGGCGGCCGGAGCGGAUCUCGUGGAAGGGCGGCAAGAGAACGAGAACGACACCUAGAGGAAAGGGGGAUCGAGGCGGAGCUCACUGUGAUGCCUGGGGAAGGCUCGGGGUUAUCGGAGGCGCGCGGAUCGACGCAUCGAACGGCUGCGACCGAAGGUUGAAGAUGGAUCGAUCCCGUCGUUGCAGGGCUCCCCGGCGUCGUGUCGGUGUAGCAGGAGACGUAGACGGUGGAUGCGGUUCUUCUGGACACGGAGAUGCGGCGAACGAUGGCCGAUGGUCACGUGUACGGCGACGGCACGGCGAUGGCAGCGUCGGACUUGUGUGGGGGAGGAGGAGAACGACGCGAGGAAGGGGAAUGGACAUGCUAGG
This 1634-nucleotide long non-coding RNA is filed under the name Triticum aestivum (bread wheat). RNAcentral's name for it is "long non-coding RNA (TAES_LNC024733)". The record is from RNAcentral. Lineage: Eukaryota; Viridiplantae; Streptophyta; Magnoliopsida; Poales; Poaceae.